This is a long non-coding RNA of Gossypium arboreum, 438 nucleotides long. RefSeq lists it as uncharacterized. Lineage: Eukaryota; Viridiplantae; Streptophyta; Magnoliopsida; Malvales; Malvaceae. The record is from RefSeq and is a predicted model, not a curated record. The transcript has 2 exons.
AAUCUGCCGUUUCUUCUUUUAUUUUUCAAGAAAAGAAAAAAACACCCUCUCCCCCUUUGUUUCUCAACUCUCUGCUAGGGUUAUGAACCCUAGCCUUUGCAUCGUCACCCCGUCGAUCGAAAGGAAGAAAGUCUCUCCUCUCCUCCUUUUGGGUCUAAUUUCAGCAACGGAGAGAGUCUCCAGCGACACAAUCACAGGGAUUCCGGUGUCAGAGGCACGUGGAGGCAAGCCGAGCGGUGGUAGCGCACAUGGUGGCCUUGCUGGUGAGGAGCGGUGGCUGAAGGCUUAGUGGCUAGGUUUUUUUGUCUGCUGAAAAUUUUUAAGAUAGUGGGCUGGGAUUUGGGCUAGGGUUUAUAAAAUUUGGGUAGUGGGUUUGGUUUUAAUGAAUUGGGCCCUGAUAUUUAUAAAAUGGACUGCCAAUUUAGACUUUAUCAUUUA